RNAcentral lists this ribosomal RNA (251 nucleotides) under uncultured bacterium. Its description in RNAcentral is "partial 16S ribosomal RNA". It matches the Rfam family "Bacterial small subunit ribosomal RNA", at positions 524 to 774 of the family's 1533-position model. The record is from RNAcentral.
UACGGAGGAUCCGAGCGUUAUCCGGAUUUAUUGGGUUUAAAGGGAGCGUAGGCGGAUUAUUAAGUCAGUUGUGAAAGUUUGCGGCUCAACCGUAAAAUUGCAGUUGAUACUGGUAGUCUUGAGUGCAGCAGAGGUAGGCGGAAUUCGUGGUGUAGCGGUGAAAUGCUUAGAUAUCACGAAGAACUCCGAUUGCGAAGGCAGCUUACUGGACUGUAACUGACGCUGAUGCUCGAAAGUGUGGGUAUCAAACA